RNAcentral lists this ribosomal RNA (403 nucleotides) under Fusobacteriota bacterium. RNAcentral describes it as "Fusobacteria bacterium partial 16S ribosomal RNA". It matches the Rfam family "Bacterial small subunit ribosomal RNA", at positions 355 to 776 of the family's 1533-position model. The record is from RNAcentral. Lineage: Bacteria; Fusobacteriati; Fusobacteriota.
UGGGGAAUAUUGCACAAUGGGGGAAACCCUGAUGCAGCGACGCCGCGUGAGCGAAGAAGGUUUUCGAAUCGUAAAGCUCUGUCCUAUGGGAAGAUAAUGACGGUACCAUAGGAGGAAGCCCCGGCUAACUACGUGCCAGCAGCCGCGGUAAUACGUAGGGGGCAAGCGUUGUCCGGAAUCACUGGGCGUAAAGGGUUCGCAGGCGGAAAUGCAAGUCAGUUGUGAAAGGCAGAGGCUCAACCUCUGUAAGCAAUUGAAACUGUAUAUCUUGAGAUGUGGAGAGGCAAGUGGAAUUCCUAGUGUAGCGGUGAAAUGCGUAGAUAUUAGGAAGAAUACCGGUGGCGAAGGCGACUUGCUGGACACAAACUGACGCUGAGGAACGAAAGCGUGGGUAGCAAACAGG